Non-coding RNA from Podarcis lilfordi (Lilford's wall lizard), 76 nucleotides. Lineage: Eukaryota; Metazoa; Chordata; Lepidosauria; Squamata; Lacertidae. The record is from the annotation of a GenBank genome assembly.
UUGGCUCGGUUGGUUAGAGCAUGGUGCUGAUAACACCAGGGUUGCAGGUUCAAGGCUGCAUAUUCCUGCGUUGCAG